GUGGGGAAUAUUGGACAAUGGGCGAAAGCCUGAUCCAGCCAUGCCGCGUGAACGAUGAAGGCCUUCGGGUUGUAAAGUUCUUUAGCCGAUGAUUAUAAUGACUGUAGUCGGAAAAUAAGCCCCGGCUAACUUCGUGCCAGCAGCCGCGGUAAUACGAAGGGGGCGAGCGUUAUUCGGAAUCACUGGGCGUAAAGCGUGCGUAGGCGGUUUUGUAAGUUAGGAGUGAAAGCCCAGGGCUCAACCUUGGAAUUGCUCUUAAAACUGCAAGGCUCGAAUCUCGGAGAGGAUAGCGGAAUUUCCAGUGUAGCAGUGAAAUGCGUAGAUAUUGGAAGGAACACCAGUGGCGUAAGCGGCUAUCUGGACGAGUAUUGACGCUGAGGCACGAAAGCGUGAGGAUCAAACAGGAUUAGAAACCCGUGUAGUCC
This 425-nucleotide ribosomal RNA is filed under the name uncultured bacterium. Its description in RNAcentral is "partial 16S ribosomal RNA". It matches the Rfam family "Bacterial small subunit ribosomal RNA", at positions 354 to 796 of the family's 1533-position model. The record is from RNAcentral.